GACGUAGGGGGCCAGCGUUGUUCGGAAUUACUGGGCGUAAAGAGCUCGUAGGCGGUUUGUCGCGUCUGCUGUGAAAUCCCGAGGCUCAACCUCGGGUCUGCAGUGGGUACGGGCAGACUGGAGUGCGGUAGGGGAGAAUGGAAUUCCUGGUGUAGCGGUGAAAUGCGCAGAUAUCAGGAGGAACACCGGUGGCGAAGGCGGGUCUCUGGGCCGAUACUGACGCUGAGGAGCGAAAGCGUGGGGAGCGAACGGG
RNAcentral lists this ribosomal RNA (253 nucleotides) under uncultured bacterium. RNAcentral's name for it is "partial 16S ribosomal RNA". It matches the Rfam family "Bacterial small subunit ribosomal RNA", at positions 524 to 776 of the family's 1533-position model. The record is from RNAcentral.